UACGAAGGGGGCUAGCGUUGCUCGGAAUCACUGGGCGGAAAGGGUGCGUAGGCGGGUCUUUAAGUCAGGGGUGAAAUCCUGGAGCUCAACUCCAGAACUGCCUUUGAUACUGAAGAUCUUGAGUCCGGGAGAGGUGAGUGGAACUGCGAGUGUAGAGGUGAAAUUCGUAGAUAUUCGCAAGAACACCAGUGGCGAAGGCGGCUCACUGGCCCGGUACUGACGCUGAGGCACGAAAGCGUGGGGAGCAAACAGG
RNAcentral lists this ribosomal RNA (253 nucleotides) under uncultured bacterium. Its description in RNAcentral is "partial 16S ribosomal RNA". It matches the Rfam family "Bacterial small subunit ribosomal RNA", at positions 524 to 776 of the family's 1533-position model. The record is from RNAcentral.